GUGCAUAUGUGCAGCACAUAUACUAAAAUCAGAGCAAUACAGAGAAGAUUGGCAGGGCCCCUGCACAAGGAUGGCCUGCAAAUAAUGUUCAAGCAUUUA
Molecule: small nuclear RNA, 99 nt
Filed under: Chinchilla lanigera (long-tailed chinchilla)
Lineage: Eukaryota; Metazoa; Chordata; Mammalia; Rodentia; Chinchillidae
Source: RNAcentral